UACAGAGGGGGCAAGCGUUGUUCGGAAUUACUGGGCGUAAAGGGCGCGUAGGCGGCCUGUUAAGUCGAACGUGAAAUCCCCGGGCUCAACCCGGGAACUGCGUCCGAUACUGGCAGGCUUGAAUCCGGGAGAGGGAUGCGGAAUUCCAGGUGUAGCGGUGAAAUGCGUAGAUAUCUGGAGGAAUACCGGUGGCGAAGGCGGCAUCCUGGACCGGCAUUGACGCUGAGGAGCGAAAGCUAGGGGAGCAAACGGG
RNAcentral lists this ribosomal RNA (253 nucleotides) under uncultured bacterium. RNAcentral's name for it is "partial 16S ribosomal RNA". It matches the Rfam family "Bacterial small subunit ribosomal RNA", at positions 524 to 776 of the family's 1533-position model. The record is from RNAcentral.